This 495-nucleotide ribosomal RNA is filed under the name uncultured bacterium. Its description in RNAcentral is "partial 16S ribosomal RNA". It matches the Rfam family "Bacterial small subunit ribosomal RNA", at positions 28 to 523 of the family's 1533-position model. The record is from RNAcentral.
GAUGAACGCUGGCGGCGUGCUUAACACAUGCAAGUCGAACGAAGCAAUCUAACGGAAGUUUUCGGAUGGAAGCUGGAUUGACUGAGUGGCGGACGGGUGAGUAACGCGUGGGUAACCUGCCUCGCACUGGGGGACAACAGUUAGAAAUGACUGCUAAUACCGCAUAAGCGCACAGGACCGCAUGGUCUAGUGUGAAAAACUCCGGUGGUGUGGGAUGGACCCGCGUUUGAUUAGCGAGUUGGGGGGGUAACGGCCUACCAAGGUGACGAUCAAUAGCCGACCUGAGAGGGUGACCGGCCACAUUGGGACUGAGACACGGUCCAAACUCCUACGGGAGGCAGCAGUGGGGAAUAUUGCACAAUGGGGGAAACCCUGAUGCAGCGACGCCGCGUGAGUGAAGAAGUAUUUCGGUAUGUAAAGCUCUAUCAGCAGGGAAGAAAAUGACGGUACCUGACUAAGAAGUCCCGGCUAACUACGUGCCAGCAGCCGCAGUAA